AAGUCGAGGGAGAACCAUUCGAUCCGUAAGGACCGGAUGGGGAAACCGGCGAACGGGUGCGUAACACGUGAGGAACCUGCCCCGAAGACCGGGAUAGCCCGAGGAAACUCGGAUUAAUACCGGAUACCCUCUUUGGACCACAUGGUCUGCUGAGGAAAUGGUCCGCCGCUUCGGGAUGGCCUCGCGGCCUAUCAGCUUGUUGGUGAGGUAACGGCUCACCAAGGCAAAGACGGGUAGCUGGUCUGAGAGGACGAUCAGCCACACUGGGACUGAGACACGGCCCAGACUCCUACGGGAGGCAGCAGCAGGGAAUAUUGCACAAUGGGCGAAAGCCUGAUGCAGCGACACCGCGUGCGGGAUGAAGGCCCUCGGGUUGUAAACCGCUUUCAGGAGGGACGAAACUGACGGUACCUCCAGAAGAAGGCCCGGCCAACUACGUGCCAGCAGCCGCGGUAAUACGUAGGGGCCAAACGUUGUCCGGAUUUAUUGGGCGUAAAGGGCUCGUAGGCGGUUCAAAAAGUCGAUCGUGAAAGCCCGGGGCUCAACCCCGGGACGCCGGUCGAAACUGUUGUG
This 573-nucleotide ribosomal RNA is filed under the name uncultured bacterium. RNAcentral's name for it is "bacterial SSU rRNA". It matches the Rfam family "Bacterial small subunit ribosomal RNA", at positions 59 to 640 of the family's 1533-position model. The record is from RNAcentral.